Long non-coding RNA from Ostrea edulis (European flat oyster), 1027 nucleotides. RefSeq lists it as uncharacterized. The record is from RefSeq and is a predicted model, not a curated record. Lineage: Eukaryota; Metazoa; Mollusca; Bivalvia; Ostreida; Ostreidae. The transcript has 2 exons.
AUUUCCUUGAUUGGCAUGAAUGAUAUAAACGGUUUUGUAUUAUCCAAUCAAAUUGAAGCACACGUGCAUGUGCGUGCAGAAUUGAAAUUUUGACGAUGCCAAACAGUUAAGGAUCCCUUGUUAUACCUACGAUAUAAAUAGCAAACGAUUUCAUUGAAAAAUAAAAAAGUUAGACUGAUUCCAAAGUUGGUAAACAAAAAAUCCAAUGCACGUGCAUGCACAUGCAUGCAUUUUCAGACAAAAUGACAUUCGUUCCGCACAUCUACAUACAUGCCAACUUUCCCGAUUUAGGCGGGAUCUUCCCGAUUUUACCCUCCGGUCCCGCUUUCCCGAUCGGGAAAGCAAAAUUACCCUAAAAUCCCGAUUUGAAAUUUUUUCCGACCAAAAUUUCCGAUUUCACGAUUGAAAACGAGUUUGAAAGCGGGAUAAUCGUGAAAUCUCGUGACCAGAAUUGGAAAUCCCGCGUCAUUUCUGAACUGGCCAAUCAGAAAUCGGGACAAUAGUCAGCUAUUGCUGUUUACCUGUGUCGCAUGGUGUCGGGUUGGUCUGCCUGUGUCGGGGUGUUUAUUGGACAGUACGAAGCAUGUUUUGAUAGUAAUUAAUCGGGAAGACGGAUUUCAAAUUGACCUAUCCUUUACACAAACGUGAAUGACAACGAUGCUAGUGUCACCACCAAACAAUCGGACAUUCCGCCUCUCGCUGACAGCAUCCAAAAUUUGCAAUAAGAUGUCAUGGGUGCAAAGGUUUUGUUCGCAAACUUCAUAGCAGGGCAGAUCACUCCUUUUUUGGUUGCAAUGCAGAUUAUUCCACCAGUCUCUGCAAGCCCAUGUUUACAGACAAGCAAGAUCGCCUUUGCAGUCGUACCUAAAUGCAUGUGCUUUAAUUUAAAUUUUGAUAUAUAGACCGGCCAAUGUUUAUUGUAUGGUGUAAAAGGAUGCAACCUUAAAUAUUAUUUGAUAUUAUGUAUGUGACUUGUUGGAGAAGAUUUUUUGCUGAAUAGAUGAUUUUAAUAAAAUAUUAAUGUAUA